This 330-nucleotide ribosomal RNA is filed under the name uncultured bacterium. Its description in RNAcentral is "bacterial SSU rRNA". It matches the Rfam family "Bacterial small subunit ribosomal RNA", at positions 568 to 898 of the family's 1533-position model. The record is from RNAcentral.
UGCGUAGGCGGUCUUUUAAGUUUGGUGUGAAAUCUCCCGGCUCAACCGGGAGGGUGCGCCGAAUACUGAGAGGCUAGAGUGUCGGAGAGGUAAGUGGAAUUCCUGGUGUAGCGGUGAAAUGCGUAGAUAUCAGGAGGAACACCGGUGGUGUAAACGGCUUACUGGACGAUAACUGACGCUGAAGCACGAAAGCGUGGGUAGCAAACAGGAUUAGAUACCCUGGUAGUCCACGCCCUAAACGAUGCAUAUUUGGUGUGGGCCAUUCAUUUGGUCUGUGCCGGAGCUAACGCGUUAAAUAUGCCGCCUGGGGAGUACAGUCGCAAGGCUGAA